This 31-nucleotide non-coding RNA is filed under the name Homo sapiens (human). Lineage: Eukaryota; Metazoa; Chordata; Mammalia; Primates; Hominidae. The record is from RNAcentral.
UCUUCUAAAUUUUCUAUUUGACAAGCAGGGU